Molecule: long non-coding RNA, 1507 nt
Organism: Malania oleifera
Lineage: Eukaryota; Viridiplantae; Streptophyta; Magnoliopsida; Santalales; Ximeniaceae
Exons: 2
Source: RefSeq, a predicted model, not a curated record
UAAUAAAUAAAUAAAUAAAUAUUUAUAAAAAGUUAAUGUGAGAAAUUAGAAAGAUGAGCCGAAAGGAGGAAUCCCUUACAACACGACAGAUGUAGAUAUGGAUAUAUAAGUAAAGAAAUAUGGGGAGUGGGAGUGGUUGAGGACGAAGAAAAGACCAAGGCAUGAAAAGUGGAACCCCCACGCCUUUUACGGUGGUCAUUUUACGAAGCCCCCGUAAGAUUCAUUUAGGCUUUAGGGUUUUUUCAAAUCAGCGGUCAGAAUUGCUCCUCCCCCUUCUAUUUAAACACUAGCUUGGGUUGGGCUAAACCAAAACGCAUGGAGGGUUAUGCGCAUCUAUCUUCACUCCGUUCUUCAACAAUUCAAGGUUUGACAUCGUUUCAGAUCUCGAUCUACGGCAGUUGUAAAGGUUCUGAUGGAAAGUAGAGGGAGAGUAGAGAAGCAUCGGAAGCGUUUGGAUUGGGAGUGAUGGGAAAGGCCCUCCACAAAAUAUUAGAGAUCCCCUUUCCUAUUCCUCCCAUACCGAAGGUUUCCGAUCUCUCCUCCCUUAUCUUCUCUCUCAGCAGAUUCUUCCAGUCUCGCGGAUCUGGAUCUCUAGGUUCCUAUCUGCUUCAGCGAUUUUCCCGGCCGUGAUGCCUAAUCCUCCGCCACCGGCCCAGCCGCAGCGGGAUUUGGCGGCGGGCGCGUCCGAAGCAGGUGGCUCUGGCGAUGGAGCGGCUAGCGCAGGCUGCCUGCCUUAUCGCCCACUACGUUCUCGAAGCCCUCCUCUCAGCGCAGCCUCUCCUCCCUCCCAACAAAGUCUUAAAUAUGAUUACCGCAGAGGAGGCGUUCAUGCCGAAGCAACUUCAGGACCUUCGCCACUUUAGUAAUUUCAUGUUUUUUAUGUUAUAAUAAUAAUAAUAAUAAUUUUUUUAAAAAAAAAGUUUAAUAAAAAAUUAAAUAAUAUAAUAAUAUUUUAAUACAUUUCUAAAUAAUUAUAAGAGUCUUUUAAAAUAAUUAUAAGUAAUUCAUGUAAUUAUAAAGUAUUCUGAAAUAAUUUAAAAAAAAUAUAUUUUAAUUUAUUUUUUUCUCUCCAUUCAUUAUUUUAUUUUAUUAUUUUUUAAAGUCUUUUUUAUGUUUAUAAUAUACAAAUUUCUAACAACAAAAUAUUACAAUUAUAUAUUUAUAUAUAUGUUUAUAGAUAAUAUAUAUUAAAUUUAAUAAGUGUUCAACUUUUUGUAUAUUAUAUAGUAAAAUAUUUAAAUUUACUCAAAUUUUAAAAUAUCCACGAUAUAUUAUAACAUAAUAUUAUUAUUAUUUUUUGGAUUAUGCAUUGAGUAUUCAUGCGUCCAUUUUACGGUUCACGUGACUAAUCUUACAUUCCUUGAAAUUGAUCACACAACUUCAAAGGGAAGGUAAAUUCAAAAGUUACGAAAACAAGUUUGAAAGGAUUUAAACGACCUUAUAAGAAGUAUUCUGUAAUUCAUACUAUCAUUUGAACCACAUCGUAAUAUAAUUUUAUUAUUGUUAA